RNAcentral lists this ribosomal RNA (253 nucleotides) under uncultured prokaryote. Its description in RNAcentral is "partial 16S ribosomal RNA". It matches the Rfam family "Bacterial small subunit ribosomal RNA", at positions 522 to 774 of the family's 1533-position model. The record is from RNAcentral.
AAUACAGAGGGUGCAAGCGUUAAUCGGAAUUACUGGGCGUAAAGCGCGCGUAGGUGGUUUGUUAAGUUGAAUGUGAAAUCCCCGGGCUCAACCUGGGAACUGCAUCCAAAACUGGCAAGCUAGAGUAUGGUAGAGGGUGGUGGAAUUUCCUGUGUAGCGGUGAAAUGCGUAGAUAUAGGAAGGAACACCAGUAGCGAAGGCGACCACCUGGACUGAUACUGACACUGAGGUGCGAAAGCGUGGGGAGCAAACA